GACGAACGCUGGCGGCGUGCUUAACACAUGCAAGUCGAACGAAAAGAGGGAAAGAGCUUGCUCUUUCCGGAAUUGAGUGGCAAACGGGUGAGUAACACGUAAACAACCUGCCUUCAGGAUGGGGACAACAGACGGAAACGACUGCUAAUACCGAAUAAGUUCCAAGAGCCGCAUGGCCCAUGGAAGAAAAGGUGGCCUCUACCUGUAAGCUAUCGCCUGAAGAGGGGUUUGCGUCUGAUUAGCUGGUUGGAGGGGUAACGGCCCACCAAGGCGACGAUCAGUAGCCGGUCUGAGAGGAUGAACGGCCACACUGGAACUGAGACACGGUCCAGACUCCUACGGGAGGCAGCAGUGGGGAAUCUUCCGCAAUGGGCGAAAGCCUGACGGAGCAACGCCGCGUGAGUGAUGACGGCCUUCGGGUUGUAAAACUCUGUGAUCCGGGACGAAAAGGUAGAGUGCGAAGAACAAACUGCAUUGACGGUACCGGAAAAGCAAGCCACGGCUAACUACGUG
Molecule: ribosomal RNA, 513 nt
Filed under: uncultured bacterium
Lineage: Bacteria
Description: partial 16S ribosomal RNA
Rfam family: Bacterial small subunit ribosomal RNA
Source: RNAcentral